RNAcentral lists this small RNA (135 nucleotides) under Salmonella enterica. Its description in RNAcentral is "RtT sRNA". It matches the Rfam family "RtT RNA". Rfam says of the family: This family represents a bacterial cis-regulatory element known as RtT RNA. The exact function of RtT is unknown although it is thought that it may be involved in changing the cellular response in relation to amino acid starvation. RNAcentral also lists the same sequence under 1 other name. The record is from RNAcentral. Lineage: Bacteria; Pseudomonadati; Pseudomonadota; Gammaproteobacteria; Enterobacterales; Enterobacteriaceae.
ACGCCACCUUACCGGGGGGGGAUGAGAACACCCGUCCGGGGUUCGACAACUGGCGCAGCCAGUUGGACAGACGACGAGCUUGCGAGGAGACUGCCCGCAGGGCGAGCGCAGCGAGUCAAUCCCCCCUCACCGCCA